This 468-nucleotide ribosomal RNA is filed under the name uncultured bacterium. RNAcentral describes it as "partial 16S ribosomal RNA". It matches the Rfam family "Bacterial small subunit ribosomal RNA", at positions 28 to 507 of the family's 1533-position model. The record is from RNAcentral.
GACGAACGCUGGCGGCGUGCUUAACACAUGCAAGUCGAACGGAAAGGCCCUGCUUUUGUGGGGUGCUCGAGUGGCGAACGGGUGAGUAACACGUGAGUAACCUGCCCUUGACUUUGGGAUAACUUCAGGAAACUGGGGCUAAUACCGGAUAGGAGCUCCUGCUGCAGGGUGGGGGUGGGAAAGUUUCGGCGGUUGGGGAUGGACUCGCGGCUUAUCAGCUUGUUGGUGGGGUAGUGGCUGACCAAGGCUUUGACGGGUAGCCGGCCUGGGAGGGUGACCGGCCACAUUGGGCCUGAGAUACGGCCCAGACUCCUACGGGAGGCAGCAGUGGGGAAUAUUGCACAAUGGGCGGAAGCCUGAUGCAGCAACGCCGCGUGCGGGAUGACGGCCUUCGGGUUGUAAACCGCUUUCGCCUGUGACGAAGCGUGAGUGACGGUAAUGGGUAAAGAAGCACCGGCUAACUACGUG